ACUGGUAUUGCCUAGUAACGGCGAGUGAAGCGGCAACAGCUCAAAUUUGAAAUCUGGCCCCCCGGCCCGAGUUGAAAUUUGGAGAGGAUGCUUUUGGCGCGGCGCCGUCCGAGUUCCUUGGAACAGGACGCCACAGAGGGUGUGAGCCCCGUACGGACGGACGCCUAGCCUCUACAAAGCUCCUUCGACGAGUCGAGUAGUUUGGGAAUGCUGCUCAAAAUGGGAGGUAAAUUUCUUCUAAAGCUAAAUACCGGCCAGAGACCGAUAGCGCACAAGUAGAGUGAUCGAAAGAUGAAAAGCACUUUGAAAAGAGGGUUAAAAAGUACGUGAAAUUGUUGAAAGGGAAGCGCCUGUGACCAGACUUGCGCCCCGUGGACCACCCGGCGUUCUCGCCGGUGCACUCCGCGGGGCGCAGGCCAGCAUCGGUUUUCCUAGGGGGACAAAGGCCGCGGGAACGUAUCUCCUUCGGGAGUGUUAUAGCCCGCGGCGGCAUGCCCCUGGGGGGACCGAGGACCGCGCUUCGGCAAGGAUGCUGGCGUAAUGGUCACCAGCGACCCGUCUUGAAAACACGGACCAAU
This 578-nucleotide ribosomal RNA is filed under the name Trichosporon japonicum. Its description in RNAcentral is "partial large subunit ribosomal RNA". It matches the Rfam family "Eukaryotic large subunit ribosomal RNA", at positions 68 to 670 of the family's 3401-position model. Lineage: Eukaryota; Fungi; Basidiomycota; Tremellomycetes; Trichosporonales; Trichosporonaceae. The record is from RNAcentral.